UACGACGGGGGCUAGCGUUGUUCGGAUUUACUGGGCGUAAAGCGCACGUAGGCGGAUUGUUAAGUUAGAGGUGACAUCCCGGAGCUCACCUCCGGAACUGCCUUUAAUACUGGCAAUCUCGAGUCCGGAAGAGGUAAGUGGAACUCCUAGUGUAGAGGUGGAAUUCGUAGAUAUUAGGAAGAACACCAGUGGCGAAGGCGGCUCACUGGCUCGUUUCUGACGCUCAGGCGCGAUAGCGUGGGGAUCAAACAGG
This 253-nucleotide ribosomal RNA is filed under the name uncultured bacterium. Its description in RNAcentral is "partial 16S ribosomal RNA". It matches the Rfam family "Bacterial small subunit ribosomal RNA", at positions 524 to 776 of the family's 1533-position model. The record is from RNAcentral.